GAUGAACGCUGGCGGCGUGCUUAACACAUGCAAGUCGAACGAAGCACUUUAUUUGAUUUCCUUCGGGACUGAUUAUUUUGUGACUGAGUGGCGGACGGGUGAGUAACGCGUGGGUAACCUGCCUUGUACAGGGGGAUAACAGUUGGAAACGGCUGCUAAUACCGCAUAAGCGCACAGCAUCGCAUGAUGCAGUGUGAAAAACUCCGGUGGUAUAAGAUGGACCCGCGUUGGAUUAGCUAGUUGGUGAGGUAACGGCCCACCAAGGCGACGAUCCAUAGCCGACCUGAGAGGGUGACCGGCCACAUUGGGACUGAGACACGGCCCAAACUCCUACGGGAGGCAGCAGUGGGGAAUAUUGCACAAUGGGCGAAAGCCUGAUGCAGCGACGCCGCGUGAGCGAAGAAGUAUUUAGGUAUGUAAAGCUCUAUCAGCAGGGAAGAUAAUGACGGUACCUGACUAAGAAGCACCGGCUAAAUACGUG
RNAcentral lists this ribosomal RNA (481 nucleotides) under uncultured bacterium. Its description in RNAcentral is "partial 16S ribosomal RNA". It matches the Rfam family "Bacterial small subunit ribosomal RNA", at positions 28 to 507 of the family's 1533-position model. The record is from RNAcentral.